GAUUGAAGAACGUAGCGAAAUGCGAUAAGUAGUGUGAAUUGCAGAAUUCAGUGAAUCAUCGAAUCUUUGAACGCACAUUGCGCCCUUUGGCAUUCCGAAGGGCAUGCCCGUUCGAGCGUCAUUACACCACUCAAGCCUGGCUUGGUAUUGGGCGACGGGGAGUCCUCCCGCGCCUUCAAUUGAUCGGCUGGACGGUUCGAAUCUCAGCGUUGUGGUUUCAUCAAAUCGCUUACGAGGAGAACCGGACGCGCCGUUAAAACUUUCAUUACAAGGUUGACCUCGGAUCGGGUAGGGAUACCCGCUGAACUUAAGCAUAUCAAUAAGCGGAGGA
This 331-nucleotide unclassified non-coding RNA is filed under the name soil metagenome. RNAcentral describes it as "partial contains 5.8S ribosomal RNA, internal transcribed spacer 2, and large subunit ribosomal RNA". The stretch from base 4 to 121 matches the Rfam family "5.8S ribosomal RNA", at positions 37 to 154 of the family's 154-position model. The record is from RNAcentral.